UACGUAGGGGGCUAGCGUUAUCCGGAAUUACUGGGCGUAAAGGGUGCGUAGGCGGUCUUUCAAGCCAGAAGUGAAAGGCUACGGCUCAACCGUAGUAAGCUUUUGGAACUGUAAGACUUGAGUGCAGGAGAGGAGAGUGGAAUUCCUAGUGUAGCGGUGAAAUGCGUAGAGAUUAGGAAGAACACCAGUGGCGAAGGCGAUUCUCUGGACUGUAACUGACGCUGAGGCUCGAAAGCGUGGGGAGCAAACAGGAUUAGAUACCCCCGUAGUCCCUGAG
Molecule: ribosomal RNA, 277 nt
Filed under: uncultured prokaryote
Description: partial 16S ribosomal RNA
Rfam family: Bacterial small subunit ribosomal RNA
Source: RNAcentral